This 468-nucleotide ribosomal RNA is filed under the name uncultured bacterium. Its description in RNAcentral is "partial 16S ribosomal RNA". It matches the Rfam family "Bacterial small subunit ribosomal RNA", at positions 28 to 507 of the family's 1533-position model. The record is from RNAcentral.
GAUGAACGCUGGCGGCGUGCUUAACACAUGCAAGUCGAACGGAAAGGCCCAAGCUUGCUUGGGUACUCGAGUGGCGAACGGGUGAGUAACACGUGGGUGAUCUGCCCUGCACUUCGGGAUAAGCCUGGGAAACUGGGUCUAAUACCGGAUAGGACCACUUCUUGGAUGUUGUGGUGGAAAGUUUUUUCGGUGUGGGAUGAGCUCGCGGCCUAUCAGCUUGUUGGUGGGGUAAUGGCCUACCAAGGCGUCGACGGGUAGCCGGCCUGAGAGGGUGUACGGCCACAUUGGGACUGAGAUACGGCCCAGACUCCUACGGGAGGCAGCAGGGGGGAAUAUUGCACAAUGGGCGCAAGCCUGAUGCAGCGACGCCGCGUGGGGGAUGACGGCCUUCGGGUUGUAAACUCCUUUCGCUAGGGACGAAGCGUUUUUGUGACGGUACCUGGAGAAGAAGCACCGGCUAACUACGUG